RNAcentral lists this long non-coding RNA (1802 nucleotides) under Pelobates cultripes (western spadefoot toad). Lineage: Eukaryota; Metazoa; Chordata; Amphibia; Anura; Pelobatidae. The record is from RNAcentral.
GCCAGUCAGAAUGUUUUAUGUUUUCAAGAAUAUAUGUGUGUAUAGUGGAUGCAGUGAGAGUAUUUGAUUAGUGAAUGCAGUGUGUAUGUUUGUGUAGUGUAUGUAUAGUGGACGCAAUGUGUGUGUUUGUGUAAUGUGUAUAUAGUGAAUGCAGAGUGUGUGUGUAGUGUAUGUUUGUGUAAUGUGUAUAUAAUGAAUGCAGUGUGUGUAGUGAAUGCAGUGUGUGUAGAGUGGGUAUAUAAUGAAUGCCGUGUGUGUGUGUAGCGUGUAAAAUGGGGGAAAGGGGCAUUUAAAAAUUUUUUAUAAAUAUUUAAUUUAAAAAAAUUUAUGUUUUAGUUCCCCCUCCCUGUGUCUUACCUGGCCAGGGAGGGGGGAGUACAGCAUUCCCUGGUGGUCCGGUGGCAUGGACUGUGCACAGGGAGGGCUCAGCACACUCUUACUUACCUUCCCAGCAGCUCCCCUGUGUAACUCACGUGGAGUGUUGCCACGUUAACCUGUGGCAAUGCUCUGAUGGCUGCGGGACUCGCGAGAGUUAGACAGGGGAGGUAUCAUCAGUACCCUGAUCUGCAUUACCGGCAAUAUCGGUAUCAUUAUUGGCAGAUACCGAUAAAUCGGUCGAUCCCUAAUACCUGGGACCUUUACAUUAUCGAGCUAUGCAGCGGUUAAAAACAUUUUAUCUCCACCGGUCCACUUCCUACGACCAGUUGAUUUGCCUUAUGGACAAAGUCCAUAUAGAACUUCACUGGUGGCUUCACAACAUAGAAGCCUGGAAUAGCAAAGCCAUUUUCGGUUCGCAGCCAGACUUCAUUCUGGAAUCUGAUGCCAGCUUGCUGGGAUGGAGUGCAACGUGCUUAGAGAGGGCCACUGGAGGAAAAUGGUCUCCGACGGAACAGGCCCUACAAAUCAACUGUCUCAAACUGAUCGCAAAAUCCUUUGCAAUACGCAGUUUUAUAAAAGAUUUCUUCAAUUGCUCCUUAGUAUUACGCAUGGACAAUGUUUCCGCAGUGCGUUAUGUGAAUCGAUUGGGAGGAUCCCGAUCCAAACUACUGUCUGAUCUUACGAAAGAUCUCUACCACUUUUGCCUAGAGAGAAAUCUGUCCACCUGGCGGAUUAUCUUCCAAGCCCCGACAACCUAGUUGCUGACUGGUUCUCCCAACAUUGGAGGGACGUCAGCGACUGGCAAUUGGACCCACUAUUGUUUAAUCACAUUUAUUUCCUUCGAGGUCCUCUCACGCUGGACCUUUUCGAGUCUCGGUUGAACCGCCAGACGGAGGCAUACUUCAGCUGGCUUCCAAACCCCCAAUCUCUAGCAGCCGAUGAAUUGUUACACCCUUGGCGAAAGACAGGAGCUUAUGCAUUACCGCCCUUUUCCAUGAUCCAACGUACCCUUUAUCAGGUCAAAGCUCUAGUAGUCACGAGUCACUGUAACUUCCUUAUGGAGAGCCUAAACUUGGUUCCCUACUCUUCUGCAACUAUCAGUGAAUUACCCACUUCUUUUGCCCAAACAUCCUCAGGCACCCAGCAGCGGACUGUCAUCCACUUGCUCUUCAAGAACGUCUCCAGCUUGCAGCUUGGACCGUUUCAGUGGAUCUUGGAAUGUCUCAGGACUUUGAGACAGCUCAAGCUCUACUAUGGGAUUCACUAGACGUGCCUGUAUCUCUGCAUGGCAGACAUGGAUCCCUUUUCAGCACCUCUUACAACCAUUCUAAACUUCCUAUCUACCCUCUUUGAUCAGGGCAAAUCCUAUAGAUCGAUUAAUGUUUCAUUCUGCUAUCUCUGCAGCUCAUAAUUCCAUUGAUAAC